Molecule: transfer RNA, 71 nt
Filed under: Loxodonta africana (African savanna elephant)
Lineage: Eukaryota; Metazoa; Chordata; Mammalia; Proboscidea; Elephantidae
Rfam family: tRNA
About the family: Transfer RNA (tRNA) molecules are approximately 80 nucleotides in length.
Source: Rfam by way of RNAcentral
GCACUGGGGGUUCAGUGGUAGAAUUCUCGCCUUUCAGGUAGGCGGCCCUGGUUCAAUUCCUGGCCAGUGCG